UACGGAGGGGGCUAGCGUUAUUCGGAAUUACUGGGCGUAAAGCGCACGUAGGCGGCUUUGUAAGUCAGAGGUGAAAGCCUGGAGCUCAACUCCAGAACUGCCUUUGAGACUGCAUCGCUUGAAUCCAGGAGAGGUGAGUGGAAUUCCGAGUGUAGAGGUGAAAUUCGUAGAGAUCCGGAAGAACACCGGUGGCGAAGGCGGGUCUCUGGGCAUCUCCUGACGCUGAGGCGCGAAAGCGUGGGGAGCAAACGGG
Molecule: ribosomal RNA, 253 nt
Filed under: uncultured bacterium
Lineage: Bacteria
Description: partial 16S ribosomal RNA
Rfam family: Bacterial small subunit ribosomal RNA
Source: RNAcentral